AGAGUUUGAUCAUGGCUCAGAAUGAACGCUGGCGGCGUGCUUAACACAUGCAAGUCGAACGGUAACAGGAAGUACUUGUACUUCGCUGACGAGUGGCGCACGGGUGAGUAAUAUAUAGGUUACGUGCCUCUUAGACUGGGAUAGCCACUGGAAACGGUGAUUAAUACUAGAUACUCCUACUUGUAGGGAAAGCUUUUGCGCUAAGAGAUCGGCCUAUACUGUAUCAGCUUGUUGGUGAGGUAAUGGCUCACCAAGGCGAUGACACAUAGCGGGUUUGAGAGGAUGAUCCGCCACACUGGUACUGAGACACGGACCAGACUCCUACGGGAGGCAGCAGUGAGGAAUAUUGCACAAUGGGCGAAAGCCUGAUGCAGCAACGCCGCGUGGAGGAUGACGCAUUUCGGUGUGUAAACUCCUUUUAUCAGAGAAGAAAAUGACGGUAUCUGAUGAAUAAGCUCCGGCUAACUCCGUGCCAGCAGCCGCGGUAAUACGGAGGGAGCAAGCGUUAUUCGGAAUCACUGGGCGUAAAGGACGCGUAGGCGGGUUAUUAAGUCAGAUGUGAAAUCCUAUGGCUCAACCAUAGAACUGCAUUUGAAACUGGUAACCUAGAGUAUGGAGGGGAAAAUGGAAUUAGUGGUGUAGGGGUAAAAUCCGUAGAUAUCACUAGGAAUACCGAAAGCGAAGGCGAUCUGCUGGGACAUUAUUGACGCUGAGGCAUGAAAGCGUGGGGAGCAAACAGGAUUAGAUACCCUGGUAGUCCACGCCCUAAACGAUGCACACUAGUUGUUGCGAUGCUCGUCAUUGCAGUAAUACAGUUAACACAUUAAGUGUGCCGCCUGGGGAGUACGGUCGCAAGAUUAAAACUCAAAGGAAUAGACGGGGACCCGCACAAGCGGUGGAGCAUGUGGUUUAAUUCGAAGAUACGCGAAGAACCUUACCUAGACUUGAAAUCCUUAGAAUCCUGUAGAGAUACGGGGAGUGCUUGUUUACAGAGCCUAAGUGACAAGGUGCUGCACGCUGUCGUUCAGCUCCGUGUCGUGAGAUGUGGUAGUCCGGCCAACCGAGACGCCAACUCCUCUGUGUGAUC
Molecule: ribosomal RNA, 1087 nt
Filed under: uncultured Campylobacterota bacterium
Lineage: Bacteria; Pseudomonadati; Campylobacterota
Description: bacterial SSU rRNA
Rfam family: Bacterial small subunit ribosomal RNA
Source: RNAcentral